GUCGGGCAUCCGUUCUGUCUAACGACAAGAAGAAGGGGAGGCGCAUUGCUGCUAUCGCGGCUCGUUCGAGUGAUGAAGUGAGUGCAGAGUGAGGCCUAUUUUUGUGCUCACCGACAAACAGCCUCGUAGAUCUCGUGACACAUCGUUAGAGCACCACGAAAAUAUCUUCCACGCGGACGAAAAGUGUUGCGGCAUAUCCAACUAUCGGCUACUACGUUUAUUCCAAGGGAUUACCAGCUGUCUUCCUUCGUGGCAACCGACUAAGUGGCGGGGAACUAAUGAUAAACACGACUCUUCGCGGCUAUAAGAGGAAAUUAAUGUUCCGGACGUAACGGUAAAUGGAGUAGAAAGAAGACAAGAAACUGUGAGAUAAAUGGUGCUUGGUUUGUCGAAGAAUGGUAUUACCUUUUACAAAAGCUUGACGAAUCAGGAGCUUUCAGAAAAUUGAAAAUGGUUGCAACUUGGAAGAUGUGCAGCGAAACGAAAUUUGAAUUGAUCGCCUCACCUCACGGAGAGUAAAUGCGCAAGGAAGUGAUUGCGAAUGAUGGACGGCCGGGUGCCGAGGGAUGAUAAAGUAGUAGCGUGUGGUAGAGCAUAUCGACGGGAAGCACCCCCAUCUAUCAGCCCCUUUCCACUUCACGGAUAAUCACCGGCUGCCAACCAAAGUCAGACUACAAGUAAGAUCUUACAGCGUGAUCUAAGUCUACUUCGGCCGAUCUAAAAAGAUUACAUCGUGUUGUAUCGAAGAUGUUAUCGCGUAAGAAAAAUAGGAGAUCGAAUCAAAAGAAUUUCUACUAUCUCUCAAAUACCAAGUAAUAUUUUAGGAAUGUAGAUAAAUGAAGUUAUUUUACAAGUA
Molecule: long non-coding RNA, 856 nt
Organism: Bombus pascuorum
Lineage: Eukaryota; Metazoa; Arthropoda; Insecta; Hymenoptera; Apidae
Exons: 3
Source: RefSeq, a predicted model, not a curated record